This 72-nucleotide transfer RNA is filed under the name Candidatus Wolfebacteria bacterium. RNAcentral's name for it is "tRNA-Arg". It matches the Rfam family "tRNA". Rfam says of the family: Transfer RNA (tRNA) molecules are approximately 80 nucleotides in length. Lineage: Bacteria; Candidatus Wolfeibacteriota. The record is from RNAcentral.
GCUCCCGUAGUUUAAUGGAUAAAACUACGGACUUCUAAGCCGUUGAUGUAGGUUCGAUUCCUACCGGGAGCA